UCUAUUUUUAGAAAAUGAUGAAGUAAGUCUCAAAGAAAUUUUGGAGAAGUUAAGCACACAAAAACCAGACCCUGUAUUGGCAGAUAUACAAACAGCCCUUAAUACUGUCAGGUUGAUGAGCUCUGACAAAAUUCAAAUUGCCAACUUAAAGGAUGCUUUCAGUGACCUCAAUGUUCCUUUAAAACCUGAGGAUCAGCAGAUGUUAGAGAAAACACUUGAUGCUGAUGAAAAUGGAGACAUUUCCCAAAGGACCGCUCUUUUAGCGUUGAAGAGCAGUAAGCGUUUACAGGAUUUUAGAG
Molecule: long non-coding RNA, 299 nt
Organism: Mesocricetus auratus (golden hamster)
Lineage: Eukaryota; Metazoa; Chordata; Mammalia; Rodentia; Cricetidae
Exons: 3
Source: RefSeq, a predicted model, not a curated record